GGUAGGGCUAUAGCUGAGGGGUAAAACACCUGCUUUGCAAGCAAAAUGUCCCAGGUUCAAUCCCUAGUAACAUCU
This is a non-coding RNA of Podarcis lilfordi (Lilford's wall lizard), 75 nucleotides long. The record is from the annotation of a GenBank genome assembly. Lineage: Eukaryota; Metazoa; Chordata; Lepidosauria; Squamata; Lacertidae.